RNAcentral lists this ribosomal RNA (251 nucleotides) under uncultured prokaryote. Its description in RNAcentral is "partial 16S rRNA". It matches the Rfam family "Bacterial small subunit ribosomal RNA", at positions 525 to 775 of the family's 1533-position model. The record is from RNAcentral.
ACGGAGGAUGCGAGCGUUAUCCGGAUUUAUUGGGUUUAAAGGGUGCGUAGGUGGACUGUUUAGUCAGUGGUGAAAUACUGAUGCUCAACGUUAGCAUUGCCGUUGAAACUGACAGUCUUGAGAGUGAUUGAGGCAGGCGGAAUGCGUGGUGGAGGGUGAAAAUAAAAAGAUCCCACACAGACCCCAAUGUGCAGGGGCUCCUUGCAAAGCCACAACUGACACUGAAGCACGAAAGCGUGGGGAUCAAACAG